AGUGAACGCUGGCGGUAGGCCUAACACAUGCAAGUCGAACGGCAGCACAGUAAGAGCUUGCUCUUACGGGUGGCGAGUGGCGGACGGGUGAGGAAUACAUCGGAAUCUACUUUUUCGUGGGGGAUAACGUAGGGAAACUUACGCUAAUACCGCAUACGACCUACGGGUGAAAGCAGGGGAUCUUCGGACCUUGCGCGAUUGAAUGAGCCGAUGUCGGAUUAGCUAGUUGGCGGGGUAAAGGCGCACCAAGGCGACGAUCCGUAGCUGGUCUGAGAGGAUGAACAGCCACACUGGAACUGAGAGACGGUCCAGACUCCGACGGGAGGCAGAGGUUGGGAAUAUUGGACGAUGGGCGCAAGCCUGAUCAAGCCAUACCGCGUGGGUGAAGAAGGGCUUCGGGUUGUAUAACCCUUUUGUUGGGAAAGAACAGCAGCAGGUUAAUACCCCGCUGUUCUGACGGUACCCAAAGAAUAAGCACCGGCUAACUUCGUG
This 492-nucleotide ribosomal RNA is filed under the name uncultured bacterium. RNAcentral describes it as "partial 16S ribosomal RNA". It matches the Rfam family "Bacterial small subunit ribosomal RNA", at positions 29 to 507 of the family's 1533-position model. The record is from RNAcentral.